This 23-nucleotide microRNA is filed under the name Rhinopithecus bieti (black snub-nosed monkey). Lineage: Eukaryota; Metazoa; Chordata; Mammalia; Primates; Cercopithecidae. The record is from RNAcentral.
UGAUUGAUACGUCUGUGGGUAGA